GUUGGGCCUCCCAAACACCUGCUGGGUCUAUAGCAACUAAAGGACAAGCAAUGAUUGAUUGGAGUGAUGCUGAGGCAGCAUGCGCUCCAUUCUCCAGAGACGGACACAUAACGGAGAAACAUCCGGCCUCAUUUCCAGCACUCCGUCUAAAAUUUGUCAUGAAGCACGCCUGAUUAUGAAAGUGGCCCUCCCUUCAGGUGAUUUAAAGCCAUGCUGGUGGGGAUUCCCCACAACAAAGCAUCUUCACCCGCCCUCCUCACCUUCCCAUGGCAACAGACGCCCCCCCUGGUCCUCUUCUACGACCCAGGAGUCGCACUGACACGGCAGCCUGGCAAGAAUAGCGGACAGCUGUUCCUAUGAUCCGUCUGCUAAUACAGAGAAGCCACCAAGAGAGGGAACAGAUUUCUAAAAAACUGUUCUCUCUCUCAUUAAUGUCAUAAUGAGAGCAGGGAUUGCUGGUUUGAAGUUGCUUGCUGUACUCUCUGCAGAAAAAAAAUGGACAAGGACAAGGAAGGAAAACUGGAAAAACUCACAAGAGGGCUCAUUUGAAGUAAAACUUAAAUCCCUGAGAAAAUCAGAAUACAUACUUCUAAUGGAAUCAAAUUAUCACAUCUCUUUACAGUAAAAUUCAAAUUGAGAAAACAACCUUAAAUUUUUGCCUGGCACAAAUGGUUGGAGAGAGUUUUUGAACUCAAAAACGUCAGAAAUCAGACGACCAAAACUGAGGACUCUGAAGCCCUCGAGUGUUACCUGGAAGCUAAUGUUCAUGUUUUGAAAUCCCAUCUGAAAUCGUUUCCCCAUCUUAAAAAGCAACUUUGCAAAAAUUAGAAUAUGAAAGAAAGAAACAAAGGACGAUUAAGUUAGGUAAGUUAUUCCCGACUUCCCUGCCACUAUUGUACAAUGACGUCGGCAGGCGUAUUAAUAUAAGAUGAGAUCUUGUUUUUUGAGCCACUUUGUUGCUAUUUUUCAAUUUUUUUCUUAGUGCAAAUUCAUCUUUUUUUGUUUUGUCAGGUUAAAGAAGCAAAAGAAGAUUGUCUGAAUGUAUUCAGAAAACGUUCAACAUUUUACAUGAGCCGUGUUCGUUAGUCCAUCAUAGUUUCAACUGAAUUUUUUUAGGGCGUACUUCAGUCUCGGUGUCCUUCUUGAGAAUGGGCUGACCAUCAAAACGAGAGACCGUAUAAGUCAUGCUCACCCACACAUCUGUGAGCACAGACCACCAGAUGGUAAUUGCUGUUUCUCAUUGUCCGUGCCGCUGCUGAUUAGCUUCUAGCCUUUAGUCGACACUCGAAGGCGCACAAGAGGAACAAAGCUGCAUGCGUGUAUGCAUAGCCGCCCUCCCGGCAUCAGAACAAAGUAGCACUCAGGGAAAAGAUAGAAAUUUAAGUAUCUCCAAGAAGACUACUGUGCCUUCAAUUAGCUGGGUGCUUGAGAGGUCACAUUAAAAUGUAGAGAGGGUGGCCACCCGGCAGUGAUUCAGAAUAUAUGUGCAUCCUAAUGAAGCCAUUACAAUUAAGAGGAAGGCAGGACCCUUGGCGUAAUCAGUGGAAUAUGAAAUAAUCCAUAUGCAUGAAACAUUUAGGAAAGUCUGAUAGCUCUGACAGAAGGACGCUGGUAUAUGCGUGGUUCUUGUAUUAGUCAUGUUUUUUAAUGUAAGACCUUUAAAAAUCAUCUUUAAUUUUUUCCUUGUAUAAUGGGACUUUUACAAUACAUGAUUCAAGUGGAAAAAAAUAAAAUGAAAACAGCUAGAAUGAGUGGACAAGACCUUACAUUAGUACUUUACAGGUUUUUUUAUUAUUAUUAUUGUUGUUAAAUUUGCAUCAUGUAGUUAAAGCUCCAGUUUUGAAAAUAUCAGGAUAAUCUCAUUUUUCCAUUAGCCAGCAGGGUUAAAAAAUAAACAAAUAAAAAAAUGUAACAGUGUAGUGGACAGCUGUUAAUAAUUUGAGGAAAUAUGAGAUUACAGAAAAUUGCAAAAAAACUGGACUUCAUUAUGACAAAAUGUCAAGAUAAAUAUAAAUAUUCUACAUGGGUCAACAACUCACUGUACUAUUUAUCUAUCUGGACAAAGUAAUCGGGUGAAGAGAUGUGUUGUAUAUCCAAUAUAACCAAAAUCUUCCAGGGGAAGACAAUAUCAUCAACAUCAUGUUAAAACGAGUAAAAGCAUGAACAGUUUUAAACACGUCAGUUCAACUUCGGCGGUCUACUAGAAAGCUGAUGACAAAGGUUUUACUUUUCUUGAUCGGAGUUCAAGCAUGCAUCCAAAUCAACAAUAGAAUGGCAACCAGAAGAAGGCCAAGCUGGAGUUCAGGACCAUAACUGAGAGAAAAUCUGUGGCAUCACAUGACCAGAGUCGGUGGAUAACAGAUGUCAUCACAACGUGACAGAUUUGGAGAGAAUUUGCAAGUCAGAAUGGAUGCUGAUAGAUCCGUACCAAAUAUGAAUGGAUGCUGCUUGUGAAUCAAAAAGUGAUAAGUAGUAGCUUAAGGAUGUGUACACCUCUGCAAGCAGGCA
This is a long non-coding RNA of Gambusia affinis (western mosquitofish), 2508 nucleotides long. RefSeq lists it as uncharacterized. NCBI's taxonomy places the organism in Eukaryota, Metazoa, Chordata, Actinopteri, Cyprinodontiformes, Poeciliidae. The transcript is spliced from 4 exons. The record is from RefSeq and is a predicted model, not a curated record.